RNAcentral lists this long non-coding RNA (897 nucleotides) under Sus scrofa (pig). RNAcentral describes it as "lncRNA (ENSSSCG00015052199.1)". Lineage: Eukaryota; Metazoa; Chordata; Mammalia; Artiodactyla; Suidae. The record is from RNAcentral.
CCAUGAGGAGCCAGCCAGCAGCUGCCCCGACAUCAGGCAAAGGCAGGCGACCUCUGGGUCAGAGGCGUCCACGAGGCACAGCCUCCUCCUCCCGGAGCCCAUCGUGGUGCCCAACUUCUUCCUGCCGCCCCGGCAGCUGGAAGCCUCUCUGCGGGUGCUCUCACUGUCUGCAGCUUUGCCACCACCAGCCGCCACAGAUCAGGAUAAGAGCGAGGCCACCAAGGGAGCCCUGUCCCCGAGGCCGUGUCGCCCCCGACCCAACUCACUGCCUCCCACCCUGCCUGAGGAGGAAACUCACAGGAUCGCACGGAUAUUUUCUUCCCGAUGCUCCCGGAAAGAGCCCUGCAGCCCAGGGGACUGAGGCGAGGGCCCGCACAGCUCCCUCGGCCUCGGCCGGCGACCCUCGGGGCUGAGAAAGCCCUGAAGCCACCGCCAGCCUGCUCCGCGGCCCCAGGGCCCGGACACGAGGAGCCCCCGGCCAGCCGGUCCCGCUGCCAGGCCGUGCGUGGCGAGGCAGAGGCUGGAACCCGCGUUCCUGUGCCCGAGUGGCCGCCUCGGCCGUGAGCAAGGGCCGGGCAGGUCCUCGCGGCGUCGGUCGCAGAGCCUCCGCUGUCCUCGGCCGGACGCGGGGCCGCUUUGCCUUGGGGUCCGGGCCGGGCGGGGGGAGAGGUCGUGCUUGGAGCCUGGGCGGGAGGGCUCGGGCCGCCCCCACGUCAGCUGCUUUCUAGCUGGCGUGCGCCCUGUUGAAUUGAUCAGAAGGAGGAGGGAGGGAGACGGACCCCCUUCAAACUUGGCAUCCGAUCGUCUGCGGUUCUGACCUUGCUCGUAACUUACUGUUUUCAGCAGCUGUGAAGGUCGGCGCCCCUGCCUGUGUUUGAAUAAAAUCCCAUCGGUGUU